UACGUAGGGGGCUAGCGUUGUCCGGAAUCAUUGGGCGUAAAGAGCGCGUAGGCGGCCCGGUAAGUCUGCUGUAAAAGUCAAAGGCUUAACCUUUGAAAGUCAGUGGAUACUGCCGGGCUAGAGUCCGGAAGAGGCGAGUGGAACUCCUGGUGUAGCGGUGAAAUGCGCAGAUAUCAGGAGGAACACCUAUUGCGAAGGCAGCUCGCUGGGACGUAACUGACGCUGAGACGCGAAAGCGUGGGGAGCAAACAGG
RNAcentral lists this ribosomal RNA (253 nucleotides) under uncultured bacterium. RNAcentral describes it as "partial 16S ribosomal RNA". It matches the Rfam family "Bacterial small subunit ribosomal RNA", at positions 524 to 776 of the family's 1533-position model. The record is from RNAcentral.